GCAGGACAGAUAAGGCAACACAUCGUUUUGAUAUGCUAAUGAAGGGAUAAUGAGUUAUGACGUCAUAAUAUACGCCCCGCCUCUGUAUUACCAUAUAUAGAAUAUAUACCGAAAACAGCAGUUUAAGCAUAAAAUACGGCUGAUUUAAUACUUCAUGAGCAAAAUAUAACUACGAAUCACUCAUGUGUGUUUUUAUAAGUUUACAACAAUCAGAAUAUACGAAGAAUUUCCAUAACGCAUCUGUCGUAUGGGUAUGAAUCUGCGUCCCAAAAGCGCUCGUCAGACGAUUUAAACACGUGUAGCUGGUAUUCCCGAUGAUGGCGAUCUUUUGAUGAUUUAUCAGAGUAAUUUGAAAAGUGUCACACUGAUUUGAAAAAAAAAAGGCUGGAAGAAAAUCUGGUACCUGCUUUGUCUUGAGAUUUAAAUAAAUGAUGAUCUUAUUGGUGAUCAUUUACCUGCACCCUUAUCCUGGUGUCAUAUACAAGAUGAAAUGAUGGAAAGAAAAACCUGAACUUUAGAAACAGGAAGACUGUGUUUUUGAAGAGAGAAGAGGACCAGAACUAAGAAGUCAUACAAUAAACACAUUGACAUCAUAAAAAGAAAUUGCAAUUUUGAGUUUGCAUGCAUAUGUCAGGUUUAAAUGUUGUCACAGAAUUUUUUUUCAGAAAGUCCCUUAU
Magallana angulata is the source of this 677-nucleotide long non-coding RNA. RefSeq lists it as uncharacterized. The record is from RefSeq and is a predicted model, not a curated record. The transcript has 3 exons. NCBI's taxonomy places the organism in Eukaryota, Metazoa, Mollusca, Bivalvia, Ostreida, Ostreidae.